This 2791-nucleotide long non-coding RNA is filed under the name Daucus carota (carrot). RNAcentral describes it as "long non-coding RNA (DCAR_LNC007709)". Lineage: Eukaryota; Viridiplantae; Streptophyta; Magnoliopsida; Apiales; Apiaceae. The record is from RNAcentral.
UUUGUUUUCUUUCUAUUCACACAAUACGCGAGCAGAUCAGAUUUGGGGAUUUAGGGAUUGAGAAGAAGUCGCGCGGUGAUUCACUCGGACAACAAACGGAGGUAAUAGCUGUGGAUUCUUGUUUUCUUUCUUUGCAAAUAUAUAUACAUGUGUUGCGAUUGUAUUGCUCUGUAUGUUUAUCUCUACUCCAUUUGUUAUUGUAAAAGUGGAGUAAGAGGUAUUGUUGAGUGGUGUUGCAGAUGAUUGCAGCCUGCAAGAGGGUUGUGUGUGUGUUUCGAUGGGUUUGUGAAAUUGUUGUAUUUGUGUAGUUUUGUGGGUGUUCAGGUUUGGACAGAGGUAUGAAGGAGUGCGCGACCACUGUUCCGUAUAGUUGCUGUGCGCGUGUAAACAGUGUGUGGUGUGUGUAUAACUGCUCUGCACAGGUAAACAAUUACUAUGUGUAUAAACAGAGCAGGAGGUGACUCAGAGGCUGCUGGCCAUGGAGUACGUGGAUGUGAUGUGUGUACUGGUGUGUAUAACAACAUAUCGAUAUGUGUUGUCGCUCUGUGUGUGUUCUAGUAGGCUGUGUGAUUGAUGUGUGUGUGAGUGUAAACAGUCCGUGUAGGUUUGUUUGAGGUGUUAGCAGGGCAGGUGUGGGUUAGCUGAAAAUAAAUAGGAAGGCUGAUCUAAUUCUAUUGAUUAGGCCGUCUAUGGGACUAGUGUGAUGGAAACUGAUAGAGGGAGGGUUGGACGGGGGAGAGAGUGCACUAUGGUAGGGUCUGAAUUUAUACAAGAGCAACAGAGCCUGUUUGUUUAGCUUGCCUGCAACUAAAAGUCGAAAUCAUUGUGCAGGUCCAGUAAUACUUUGAGAUUGAGAAGAUAUAUUUUGUUGAUAUAACAUUAUAUUGGUGGUAACUCGUAUGCAAAAAAACAUUUUUUAUGUUUUUAUGUUUUCAGAAAUUAGGGUACACAUUUUUUUGAAACACUGCCUAAUUUUGGACUACACAUGUCAUAUUGAUAUGAGUUUAUUAAUUUAUCUUUGUUAACUAAUAUUCAAUACCUCGCCAAUAUAUAUUAGUUCACUAAUGUAGUUGACAGAAUGACAGUAGUUUAGUAGUUUUUUGGUGAAAGUCCCUCUAAAUUCUUUUAUGUGAAUGCAGGAAGCUGCGUCGUUUGUCAGAGUUAUAUUAUCCGUGGACAAUUUGAGAUUUUGUAAGCGUUUCAUUGCUGUAAAUUUUAUGUCUUCGUGUGAGUCAACUAAGAAAUAUUUCAUUUCUUUCGGCAGGUAAGUACUGUUUAGUAUCUGUCUAUAUUUCUUGAGGAUCAACAGUAGGGACUAUAGUUAGGAGUUUAUUGUUGGCAACUGUCUCUUUUGCUGUUUUAGCUUUAUUCUUAUUCUUGUCAGCGGGUAUAACAUAUGGGAAGCUACACUAAUUGUAGCUAUGCUGUCAUCUAUUUAAUUGAUUGGAUGAGGCUUAAAAGCUAACAAAAGAUUAAAAAACAAAGUGCACAAAUUGGAAGUAGAGUCGGGACUAAUAUUAUGUACUUCCAUGUUGAAAUAGUACUUGUUUUGACAUUAAACUGGUAGAUGUCAAUCCAACUUGGGAACUCAGGACUUAUAGUUAGAUCAUAAUUGCUUCAGGAACAAGCUCUCUUGGUAGAACGUCAUCACAAAAUAUCGAUUUAUGCUUUUUAAUAAUUAAAUAUCUAUAUCUAUAUUGCAAGUGUCAUGAUGCUUUUUUGCUGAUAUGGUUUACUCUGCAGAUAAUUAGCUUUUUUGUACUUUUUCCAUGUUGCAUGGCUGGUAGUAUGGUAAGAUCUUGCUACUUUUUUACGGCAAAAAAAGGCAAUGAAUGUUUUCCACAGUAGACCCUUUAAUGUUAUUACUUGCCAAUAAACCAACAACAAAAGUUUAUCCUUUUCACAGUAAAGUAGAUAAUGUAUUUUUAGAUAUUGUGUGACUCGCUACUUUAAGUAUGUUAGAAAAUAUUUUAUCUAUAUGCAAAUAUAGCACUGCGCACACCAGUACAACCCUGAACUGUGUUUAUCUUUUCUGAAGUAGUGUAUAUUAAAAUGAAGUUUAUCUUUUGAAAGAUAUGAUUAGAAUGGUUGACCUUGGUCCUUUCAAGCACAGUAAUUCUAGUGAAGUGAAAAUUCUUAAGCUGAUAAUGCUCAGCAUAUAGGAGGCCGGGUUCUCUUUCUACGACCCUUUUAGAAUAUAUGAUAAAGUCAAAGAAAGGAAUGAAGAGAUGACGCAUUAUAGUCCAAAUGCCAGUUGUGUAAAUGAAUAUAGGACAUUUAUUUUGCUUAUUUAGAUUUUGCUCCGGCUAUCAAGUUGGUUUGUUCUUUUUUUAUAUUAUAUAUUUUUAUUACCUAAGUGACAAAAUUGUUUCUGGAUAUAUUAUUGUUUACUUGCAAUUUCUUUUCUUCUUUUUUUGCAGUAUCAGAUGUGCCUACAUAUAUAGGUUAUCUAGAUUGAAGUUGGACAGUGGCCUUGCGAAAUCUUAUGAGGGCUUUACAAAGACCAAUCAUCUACUUGGCUCUUCAAACUCCACUUUGAGAUUUGAUGGUGGUUUGACAUUACUGAAAUUUCAACAUUUAGAUUCAUGUUCAGAGAAUUUUUCUGGUAUAUAACAAUGCUACUUUUGUAAUAAUUGUAGUGAUUUUAAUAAUUGUACGAGAUAGAUGUGCAUUAUUUUACAUUAAUUAGACUAUUUUCAUUUAGUUUAUUAGUUCUUAUUUGUUAAUGUGAUAAAUGCUUGUAAUAUAUUUGUCAUUUGUUAUGGUUCAUUUGUGGUUGUGGUUUGUUAUA